This is a non-coding RNA of Castor canadensis (American beaver), 2880 nucleotides long. NCBI's taxonomy places the organism in Eukaryota, Metazoa, Chordata, Mammalia, Rodentia, Castoridae. The record is from RefSeq and is a predicted model, not a curated record.
AGAAGGAGAGGAGGAGGGAGAGCAUUAGGGUGGUGGGGCAGGCACGGGGCAGGCUGGCCCAGGGCAGUGGGGCUCAGCUGCUGGAGCAGGCUGAGGAGCCACAUGGAGCUCCACUUGUGCAGCAGGUGGGCAAGGCAUUGGUGUGGGCUGGGGCUGAAGCUGGAUCCAGCCCUAGCUCUGGAGGCCACUGGUGAGCCUGAGCUGGGCUGACCUGACACCUGUCAGGUCAAGAGGAGAAGGGAUGAGUGUGAGUUCACUGUUCUUUCAGUAUCACAAAUCCUGCCCACUGCCUUCCAGAGCAGGUGCUAUCCACAGGGUCUCCCCCCCAGGAGUCUUCUGCCAAGACAGAGAUCUCGCUGAUGCUGUGCCCUUUUCCCACUUGAAGAAGCUCUGUUCUGCAUGCCUUUCCAGCCCAUUUUCUUUUCGCUUCAGGUCUCGGUCCUCCUCUCCUCAUGGGCAGGCUGUGCCCCAUUGAGCUCCUCAUGGAGGGAGUCAGCUGGGUGCACCAGGUGGGAGCCAGUGAAGCUCAGCCUCACCUUGGGCCAGUGCCCUGUUAGGUGGGUCCUGAUGAAGCCCCGGGCAGAAGGCUGGAGCCAGGCAUCCAAGAGCAAGGGCACAACCUGAGAGUGGUCUUGGGGGACUGCAAGAAAAAAAAGAGUUAGUGGCUGCACUCCACUUCUAUAAAAUAAAUGCCAGUGGCUGGAAAUUGACCUUGGACAGAGAAUGAACAUCACAGAUUUGGCCUCCUCUGAUCAGCUAUCUCCUGAUGUUCAGUGACAGUGGGAAGAACUAGAAGCAAUGUCAAUGUGAAGAAAGCAUCUGGUUACUGACCUACGAGAGGGUCAAGAAUGUUCAAGGUUGCUACCAGCUGACCCACCGUGCCUCCAGCCUCACUGGGAUGAACCCCAGGGUUUCUGAGCAUGGCUCUUUAUGGGGCCCACAGCUAAUGUAACAGCCAAAGUUUCAGUUCUACUGCCACCUAAGAGGACCAAGUAACUGAAGAGAGGAAGUGGAGAGACCAGAAACGAUUUUAGCAAGAAGGUGACAUGUCAGAAGAUGAAGGGAGCAGAGCUGCUUAUGCCAUGGAAACAACCUCCAGAAUGUGCAGAUGGAGAACUUCAGAGUGUGGCAUAUUCUCCAGGCGCUUCUCCCUAGGACCAGGGCACCACAACCCAGAGACCAUGUUGGCCUGAUAAGAGUAUGUCUACCAGACUCAGCAUACACCUUCAGCAAGAUUUACUCUUGUCAAUCUUAGUAUCAGAGCUUCCUGUGUUCCACUGGCAGAGUGGCUCAAGUGGUAGAGCGCCUGCCUAGCAAGUGUGCAUUCCCUGAGUUCAAACCCCAGUACUGCCCCCCAAAAAAAGUUCAGAGCUUUCUGUGUUCCCUUUAAGACUGCCCUUACUCAGCUGCCACACAGCCCCAAGCAAGGAUCCCUAGAGUGCUAUAGAGCUCCAUGUUCUUGUGUCGGGCCAACACAUUCCUCUAAUGUCAGAGUUCACACACAGCCUCUCAAGGAGGGUAAAUCUGGAUCUGAUCAUCACCUGCCCCUUACGACUUAAGAGAACUGCAUCUGUGGCCCUCAGUCCCAGGCGUCCUUCUCAGGAGGACCUGGAAAUUUAACAUUCCCUUAUUUGAGUCCAAUCUCUUGCUGAUGCCUCAAUCCCUUUCCCUGUGACUUCAACAAAAACCUCUGUGUUCUCAACUUACCUGAUCUUCCUUUCAUCUUCAUGUAACUGUACUUAUCUUUCUUGGUGUGCCAUGGUAUUUGUGUCAGCUCUUUUGGUAUUUGUGUUUACUCUUUUGUCCCUGUCCCCUUCCUCCCUGCAGUCUACAGAUGCCUCAGUCCUGAUCAUCCUCACCACUCAGGCCAGGAGUCUGAGAACAUCACACAGCACUGUGAUGGAACUAGGAGAGGAUGCCACCCUGACAGCUUCAAGAGCUAAUGAAGACCUCAGGCAGUGACUCCAUCUGGCCUUAGCCGUGGUCAUGCAGAGUGUCGCUGCUAGCUAUCGUAAGUAAAAUCUGCCUUUAAAGAGCUAACAUAGGGAAUGGCACAUUGGGCAAGUAAACAGCUUCUUAAUCCUUAUUUUCUAUUCUUGAGGAAUUUUUCCUUUCUAUUUUUGAAGAAUUUUCCACUAUGUGAAUAAUUAUCAGGAACAUCUACUAUUGAAGCUGAAGGAGUCAGACUUUCCUUCUCUCCCAACUGGCCUUGAUAGUGUGGGUGCAGGAUUUAAGGACAACAAAUCACAGAAGUGUGUGCGUGCACACACAUACACAGCGUUCUGAAUUAGGAGCAGCUAGGAAGUUUUUCUGUGGUGGCUGUGCUACCUGAUCAGUGACAAGAAAUGAGUGAUGCAGCAGCAAAGGGUGAAGCCUGAGGAAAUGAUGGUGAUGACACCACAGAGCCAGGGACAGUUCAAGCCAAACCCACUGGAACAAGUCUUCCCUGUGUUCUGCUUCCUGGCUGCCCUUGGUUCCAUCCUUCCCAUUGACAGUGGACUACUUCACUGCCUCCUGGGCUGCUUUUCAGUUUCAGCUGGUCAGUAUCAGCACCUAUUGCUUGUAGUUCAGAACUCUGUGUGACUCACCUACUAACCCAGCCAGGGCUUCCAUGCUGACCAACUCAGGGGGCGCCGAAGACAACACAAAAACGGCAGUUCUAGAGUUAUGCAGCAUGGUCCCACAAAAUCUACCUUAGUGACAGCAAGAACUAUGUGUCAAUGUGUGUCUACAAGACAGAACACAGACUAGGAAGAUAAACAGUAUUUACUUCGUUACAUAUUUGAAUAACAAAAACAAUUACAUUAUAAUCCUAAUCAUUUAAACAUAGGCUUUCUAGUGCCGUCAGGUAUGUUCAACUCUCUUUUUUUUUUUUUUUUC